AAAAAACGACGAGGAAUACUAUUUCAUGAUCAUUUCCAUUUCGUCUCAUUCAUCAUCGGUGUGUGUCUCUGUUGUCGGUCAGCUGUGGCAGCUAUAGGAAGGAAGUGCUUCCUGAGGGAGCCACAGGACCUUAAAUACAGAGGCUUUUGAGCAACAAACACAAGGCUUUCAUCCAGGAGACAGCUGUUCAUGUCUCAUGAAUUCCUGUGCAAUGAUCUCCAGCAGCUGAGUGGUUGAACUAAACAUCGAGAGGUCUUGAUAAUGAACUGAAGAACUAAAAAGACAAGUUAUGCUGGAGAUGGACAAACACCUGCCAACUGAUUUUAUCACAACCUGGCAACCCAAAGCUUUUCCUUAUUAAUCUAUAAAGCAUUAAUAAAUUAUGUACUACCUAUCAAUAAAGCCAUAACUUAUAAAUCCUUUAUAAAGUGUGCCCUAAUAGAAAGGGGGUCCAAUAUUGUUUAUUUAUUUAUGGCAACACAUCAGAUGCUGUUUUGCACAUUUCAAUUAACAAAUUCGAUUUGAUCAGUAUUAAAUACGAUUAUUAAUUAUCUUAUUAUUUAACAAUAUCUUGCCCUCAUUUUACUGAAAUUCCACCACUUUUUUUGCAAGAAAUAUAAUUAAAAUUAAUAUAUUAUUGUGAAUACAAUAAGACAUUUGGUCGCAGAACUAAACUUUAAACUUAAUUAUCGUCACACAUUAAUUAUUUUUUUUAUGAUUAUCGCUGUAAUUUGACCUGAACACAGAUGUAUUGAAUUAUGAAUAUGGGUAUUUUGUGUUGUAAUACUCAUUGUGAAUGAUUUAAGGAAGCCUCAUGGGACAAACAGAACGAUAUUUAGUCAGGUUGGAUUUACACCCACUAGCUUGAUUGCCUAUAUUUAUCUGACCAUGUGAUGAGCAGACACCUACUUCAUACACAAAACAUGUGUUCAGCAAUGCUUCACCCUCCUGGCCAUGAUGUGAUAUUACAUACUUUUUUUUGUUCACACAAAGUGUUGAAUCAUGCACAUCUAAUUUAUAUCAGUUUCUCAAAGAUCUGCAGUGAAGAUGUUAUUUUUUGGGGGGGGGUUUUAGUAGUUUAAACUGCAAUUCUUCUUUUUUUUAAUGAUUAUUUUAUACCCCACAAUUGUGACUCAUUCAUGUGACAUUUGACAUACAUGUGAAUUAUUAUUAUUAUUAUUAUUAUUAUUUGUAUUAUUAUUAUUAUUAUUAUAUUAUUAUUAUUAUUAUUAUUAUUAUUAUUAUUAUAUUAUUAUUAUUAUUAUUAUUAUUAUUAUUAUUGUUAUUAUUAUUAUUAUUAUUAUUAUUAUUAUUAUUAUUAUUGCUGCGUGCAUAGCAAACAUGUUAGGAUGUGGGCCCCUGAAAGUCCUGCAGUGUCGUGCUGUGUCUUGUUACACACUGACGACCCCUGCAGGCAGAUUGGAGCAACAGCACUGCUUUCUUGUCACUGCAGCAUUUGCAGCCUAUUUCUUUUAUCUGGUAACAAUCAUGCAACAUAAUCUGUUUUGUAUUUUUUUUUCUGUAAUUUGUCAAGUUUAAUUUUCGUUUACUGUUGAAAGCAUGUUUCAUAUUUUCACAAAAUUAAGGAUAGGAUAUAUUAUGUGUUAAAUGAAGCUGUUAAUUAUAUAAGAAUUAAUUUACCUUUCAUUGUGCUGUGCAGCAGCUAAUGAAUUAUAAAUCACUUUUCUUCUUUUGCUCGCUGUUCUAUUGUCUGGAAGGUAACAAUUAAAAAAAAAAAACAUUGAUGACCGGACCUAUUUAUUCUGAAUCCUUUACAAAUCUGUCAUUCAGACAAUGCUUUCUGUUGCAGUGUGUGGAGUAAAUAUGGCAUGGCUGCAGGCCAACAGAAACCAGUCGACCGUUGUACCGUCUCACUAUCUCACUGUGUGUUUGUUAUCAUUCAAACCUGCUUGUCCCUCCCUAGCAACUAAUUCAGGUGUGUCCAGGACUCACCCCAGGCGUUGCUAUGAGUGAGCUCAAAUGUGCAUUUGUCUGUCUGACUGUGUCUCAUAAACCGGCUGGUUACACAUGAGUUGUAAAACUGAACAAAAAAAAAUUCCAGAGGUGUGUCUGAGCUUUCACUCUGCAGUGAAAUCUGAUCUGCUGUGAAAAGGCAACUAUACAUUUCCUUUUCAGAUAACACUGUAUUAAUAUAAGAUUUAUAGAUUUAGACUGUAUCAUAACGUAUUGUGAUUUUAAAAAAGCGUAUCCUCCCACAGACAAUGUAAACAUACAUGAAUAUCCUUUUAGUGCACUUUGGCUUCAAAGUCCAAGAGAUAGACUAGUGAACUAGUUUGAUUUAUUACUUAGGGGUUAAGAUCAACUUAGCAAAACAAUAAAUUCAUGGGCAGUGUACACGUAGUGUGGACUGUGCACAACCACACAAAGAUACACACACACUACAGUUAAUAUAUCAGCAGA
Long non-coding RNA from Sebastes umbrosus (honeycomb rockfish), 2421 nucleotides. RefSeq lists it as uncharacterized. NCBI's taxonomy places the organism in Eukaryota, Metazoa, Chordata, Actinopteri, Perciformes, Sebastidae. The record is from RefSeq and is a predicted model, not a curated record. The transcript has 3 exons.